Molecule: long non-coding RNA, 9522 nt
Organism: Marmota monax (woodchuck)
Lineage: Eukaryota; Metazoa; Chordata; Mammalia; Rodentia; Sciuridae
Exons: 3
Source: RefSeq, a predicted model, not a curated record
UCUCCAUUAUCCAUCCUCUGUCUGUCCACCCACUCACCCAUCUACCCACAGGCCUUCCCUCUGUCCACCCUGCCUAUAUCUAUCGGGGCAUCCAUCCACCCGACUCGUUGUUUUUUCUUAUUUCAGGCAGCCUAUCUAAACAUGGAUGCACGCAUAGAUUGACUGAAAGGUCACGUACUGUGCCACUUCUCUGUGCCGGGCACUCUUCUGGGGACGCAAUACUGGAUACACAACCAUGACCCAGCAGACGGAUCCCAGCCUCACAGAGCUCACCCAGCACGUGUACCCUCCUCCCUUCCAAGCACCCACGCCUCCUCUCCUGGCCUCCUGCACUCCUCCUCCCCGGGGAGGGCUGGGAGGGCCAGAGACGGAUCAGACCCAGGCUGGCUGCUGCGGCUUUCCCGGCCUGGCUAAAAUCAACCAUUAAAAGGGUUUGCCGUGUUCGUUACAGGGACCCUCUUCUAGAACAAAAAUGCCUCAAAGAGAUCGGAGCUGGUUGAAUCAACUACUUUUAGGAAAUGAAAUAAAACCAGCUGAGCCUGAUUUUGCCUCGACGGGCUGGCUUCCGUGUGACUGUGGGUCACGGUUCUUACCCUGGCCGAGCACUGGAGUCACAUGAGGCCUUAAAAAGACACCCCAGAUCCCGGGGCUGUGCUUGGACUCCAUCAGCAAAUAUGCACUUCCCUCCCCUCAGCAGAGGCCCCCUCCCUUCAGCGUGGAUAUCAGUCUACGUCCACCUGGCUGGCUCUGCCCCUGAGGACACAACACGAGCCGGCAGGUGAGGAGAGCUCUGGCAGUGCCCUCUGUCACCAUCACCAGGAGAAGGAGGAGAUUCCCCUGGAGCUGCCGCCGGGGCCCCUGAGAGAACCUGCUGGGGGGCCUGAGUGCAACCUGCCCGGGGAGCCUGCCCAGCAGGGCCUGCCGCCUGCAGCGUCCCCAUGCCCCGGCUGCCCUGGAUCCACAGCUGGCAGCGUGCCAACUCAGCUCCAAGAAAAGGAGAAAAUGCCAAGUGCCGGGGAGGACCCGGUACAUGUCCUGGGAGGAGAGUAACAUGGUAAAACCGCUUUGGAAAAUAGACGGUGCUUGGACCACACACCCACCAUGUCACCUGGAUGUUCCCCUCCUGGUGGUACAGCCAAGUGCUCCCCAAAGACAAGGUCAGGAGUACUCACACAGCACUAUUCACAAUAGCCCCAGUGGAAAGGACCCACACGUCCGCCAGCCUUUGAAUGGCUUUACACCUGGCGGUGCGCUCACGGGACGGACGGAGGGCACGCACCCGCGACGACAGAGAAACUCCCUCUACACACAAGGGUGGACCUCUCCACAUCGGCCUAACAUUGACCAGAUAAGCCAGUGCAAGGAUGCUGUGUGACCUUGGCUAACUCCCUGUCCCUCUCUGGGGCUCAGCUUUCCCAUUGCAAAAAGAAGACUCCAGGCUACAAGUUUUCCAGGGCUCUUUGGUUCUAAGGUGACCUGUUCGACAUGCCCUCCGCAAACCAGAGCUUAGCGUGGGACACUGGAACAGGGAAGCAGGUAAAGGUGGACGGAUGGAGGGCUUGAUACCAGCCACCCUAGGGCUACUUUCAAUUCUGCUAUUUGCUAGCUGUGUGACCUUGGGCAAGUCACCUCCCGGUUCCAGUCCCCUGGUUCGUGGAAGGAAGGUGAGCUGCUUCCACCGGCCGAGGGAGACAUGCAGGAGCAAAGCAGUGUGUAGGUGGCUUGUGGGGGGAGCUGCGGUUAACGGGACCCACAGCCCCACCCCAGGCCCUGCAGCCUGGACCCACAGGCAGAGGUCUGCUGGGGAGGCUUGGGUACCCAGGACGGCUGCAGUGUGCACGCCACCUCUGCCCCUCUCCCAGCCAUGUCCCUCAGCCUGAUUUCUGGUGGGACGUCUGGGGAAUGACCUCCUCCCCCGAGGCUCUAACAACCGCGCACACCGGCCCCAUCCAGGGAGCCCAGCCCCACGGCCAGGGCCAGGCCUGGCCAGAGCUGGAGGAGAGGAGGAAGAACCAUCGUUCAGUGCGGGUUUCUAAUCCCAGCCACAGCCCUGCCAGGGUCCUGCUUCUGCACCCAUUUCACAGAGGCAGAAACCGAGGCCCCCCCCCUUGGAAGAGCAGUGGCCGCGGAGGGCCCAGGAGCCGUUCUGACCACCUCACAUGUUAUUCAAGGAACCCCAUGGGAGCUAUCCGCCCCCAGGGGAAGUGGGGGCCCUGCAGUCCACACUUGGGUGCUGCAAGAAGGUGACCGGAACUCCUGGAAGGACCGGCCAGCCCUGAGCACCCCCUGCUGGCCCCUGGCUUGGGGACAGCACUCACUGCGCGCCCGCUUGCCCUGGGAAAGGGCUAUUUUAAUCCCAAUCUGCCUCCCAGGGAUUCCCCCGGGCCACUGGCCGGGACUCGGGGCUGGAAGGAGGCCAGCCUCUGCCGGGCCUUGGAAACCGAGCCGUGCAGCAUAAAGAGCCGGGUAAACUGAGGCCGGGGGAGGGGCAAAGCACCACGGGGUCCAUCACAGGGGCCACCCUCUCCAGAGACAGGUGCCCGUUUCACAGAUGGAGAAAUGGACAGUCCAGGGCGCCUGCAGCUAGGGAUCGGGGACUUGGACGACCCUGGAGCUGACUCUACACGCGGCUUCACGACCUGCCCGUGCAGCAGCUCCAGUGGCCCCAGGAGACGUCCUCAGGGUGUCCCUGGAAGGUACCACCGGCCCGAGCUACAGAGGACCGUGAGGAGGAGCGUCCCCCCUGCCAUAGCCCGGGCACUCACACUUGCCACCCCUGCGACUCUGCCUCCCCUCGUGGUGACAGUUGCUGAGUCUUCAUUUUGUACCAGAGGAGGCUGGAGGUGGCGACCUGCCCAAGGAGCCAGAGGCCAGGGCCUCAGCGGGAAGGGCCAGCGCCCCUGGGCCCAGGGUGGAUCGGCCUCCUCAGAGGCGUGUGUCCAAGGGCUCCUCACAUCCUGCUGCUCUGGCUGCCGGCAGUGGGCCUGCCUCCCUCUAGGAUCCAGAAACUUCUGAAGAGCAGGACUGCGUCACCUUUGUGUGUGACCCCAGGACCUACCCAAGGCCAGGUACACUGUGGGUGUUCAAUAGCUGCUGGGUGGACCGUGAGUAAACCAUGGAGUCAUGAUGAGGAUCACGCCUGCAGAGGCCACCCUUCACCUGGCAGGGUGGCCAUGACCGUGUGGCCUGGUGCCCCACUGCCCAGAGUCCAGCCCUGCUCUGCCAUCUACUGGCUGCAUGAGGGACAGCAGGUCACCGACACCCUGCCUCACUUUGCCACCUCUGGAGACAAUAAUAGCAUCUGGCAGCUGUUUUCAGAGGAGAUGAGGUCACAGUGUGAGCAGCAUAAUGCCCCUAAUGGCCCCCAAGGUGCAGCGACUCUCUGCCCUGACCCCAGAAAGCAGGUGGCAAGGGUCAACCCGUCCCUGCCAGGAGGCUGCACAGCCCAUGGCAGCCUUCAGGGAGGCUGAGUGAGGGUGGGAUUCUCCUGGGCUCUCCUCACAGAAAACAAGCCGAGCUGGAGCCAGCUCCAAGGCCUUCCUUGGACAGCAGGGACCGUGUCUCCCAGGCCACAGGUCCCAAGGUCAGGCACAAGGUCAGGGAUGGGGGAGCUGGGAAAGCACGCCACCUCCCUGGAGCCUGCCUGAGUAUAGGCUACGCCUGUCCGAGGGUCCUCCUGCCCCCUCCACCCUCCUGCGCUCAGGAUCUGCUGCCCUGGAACUUUGGAAGGACCUGGUCCACCCCACGCCUCUCAAUCCUGGGCCUGGAUUUCUGCAUGAGGCCACCACUUACAAUGACAAGACGGGCCUCUCAGGGAGCCUGUGGUCCCUUAGCGGUAUGGGGUACCUAAGUGUGCGGGGCCUCCAGUGAAGGCAGGGCCCAGGGUUCAGAGCCACUUGCCACCCUCAGAAAUGGUAGCAGUGAGCGGGUUGCCGUGGCCUUCCCUGCUCACCGCACGAUUCCGUGAGAAGGUGGUGUUGCCCCCAUCCUGCAGAUGGGAAGACGGAGGACACCCAGGGAGAAAGUGGCAGGGAGAGAGGGCGGUGUGCCUGACUUCCGGCUCUCAUCUCAGGUAGCUAACCACAGCUUUCAGCUGUUUUUGAAGAUUUAAGUAAAGGCUGGAGUCAAAUUGGAGAAUGAAUAUAUAUAUACACACACACACACACACACAUAUACGUUUAAAAGACUGAAGAUGAAUGGAUAUUAUAUACACACAUGUAUAUACAGUGAUUUAUGCUCCUACGUAUGUUUGCAGCUUGAGCCAUCUACCAUAUAACAUAAUUCCUUAUAUAAUAUUUAUUCAGUCCUCCUCUAUGUUUGUGGGUUCUGUGUCCAGGCAUUUAAACAACAUGGAUCAGGAAUAUCCAGGAAAAAGAAUUGUUCCAACGACUCUGAACAUGCAUUGACUUUUCCCCUGUUAUUAUUCUGUGAGCAACACACAUAACAACUAUUCACGUAGCGUCCAGGUUGAAUGCGCCAUCACGGGUCACCUGGAGGUGGUGGGGGGUGUCCGAGGAUCCACAAGGACCUGGGCAGACACCCUGACGUCUCAUACAGGAGACUUUUCCCCAGAUUUGGAUAUCUGCAGGGGGGUCCUGAAACCAACGCCCCACAGAUACCAAAGGAUGAAUAUACACGAUACACAUCAGACAUGCCAUCUGCAGAUCAGUUGCAGGAUUUUCAGGGUCUCUCAAAAGUCACGUGGCCCUAGCCAGAGGCAGUCCUGAGAGCUGGCUGCUUGGGCUACCUGGGGACACAGGAGGAGGAAUCGCCACAGCUGUCCUUGGCCCCAGUACCAGCCCUGUUCUGUUCAGUGCCCCGUCCUGCUGUCAAAACCCAUCUUUCUAAUCCACCAGCCCCAGACCAGAGGGGUCCUUCCAGUUGGGACUGUGGAUGUAGACAGCCAGGUCCUGGGUCCCUUUGCUUUAAUGCCUAAACAAUAAAAAAUACACUGGUACCUGAGGGUCCCUGGCAGGGUCCUAGCUGCUGCCUUGGGUGGAAGCCUUUGACCUCUCAGUACCCGGGAGCAUCAGCUUCUCAUGUGCAGAUGGGGAGACGGAGGUGCAGAAUGUAAGGGGCAGAGGGGCUCCGACUGCAUCUGCUGGUCCCUCUUUUCAUCUGACCCUCUGAACAUGGCAAGGGGUUAGUCACUUGACCCUAAACCUCGCCCCACAGGAGGUUUCUGCCCUGGUAGAGGACAGGGCCCCCCAGCCCUCGGCCCCCAGGAAGGGCUCCAGUCAAAGUCCCGGGUGGCCUUGGCAGGGGCCAGAGCUGACAGGCCUCUGUCCAGGGCCUCACCGCUGCUGAAGAACCUAACAUGCCCUCCCAGUGGCCGAUGGAAGACUCUUGCACGCUGGCUUUGGGUGCCAGGCCUUGGGGCUUCUGAAGGUGGGCCAGAGUCACCAGAGGACCCAGGAGUCUGCUCAGGCUGCAGACCCCACCAUGCCAGGCCCCUUUGUCCUUUGUAUGGAGAGAAACUGAGGCACCGAGAGAGGGUGCACCCAGCCCGAGGUGGACCAGCCAGACCCAAACCUGUCCAAACCUGGCUCCGCUCCCACUCCAGCACGACCCAGGCCCCGCCCAUUGUACAGAAGGGGAAACUGAGGCCAAGGCUCCAGCCGAACGGAGCGCCCUUGGCUUCCCCUUGCUCACCCAAAGCUGGGUGGCCCUCCGCGGAGUCUGGGACCCUGACAGAGAGCUAGGUGGCUUGUUUGUUUAUUGGCCUGCCAGGAACCCAGGAAGCUGCCCAGAGAGAGAGCCAGAGGAGAGAGGGAAUAAAUAAAACCAUGAGAAAGUCUCUUUUCUGUGUCCUGCACAGAGCCACAGCCUCAGGCGGUGCCCGGGAGCAGCAUGUGGAAGACAUGGGUGGCCGCCAAGUUUCCGUCCUGUUUCUCUGGGCCCACGCCGUUGAGCAACAGGCCCACAGGUCACCUUCCUCUCAGCCUCCUGGGUGGAGGGGCCCUUCCCUGCCUCCUGGCCCUGCAGGGACUGGCCCUCGUCCCAGGCCCCUGUCCUCCCUGCAGCCAGACCCAUCAGUGUGGCUCAGACACAUUCAGUGCUGGACACAGCAUUCCAGGCCCCUGACCCAGUUUCUGCCACGGCUCUAGGAAUGCCAGGCUCUGCCAGCUAUGCCAGCGGCCAGGGGUGGCAGAGAUGGGUGGGCGGGGCUGGCCCGUCCACCUCUGAGCCUCCAAUAACAACAGUGGCUGUGCCCACCCCUUCCAGCUCCCCAGCCCGAGUGCCCUGCCUGGCCUUGUUCUGUCCAUGGGCAGCGCGAGGGUCUGGACCCUCUUCCUGGCCCCCUGGGUGGCAGGACACAGGGGCCUGGGAGCAGGUGGGAAGGCUCAGGCGAGGCAGGAGAGCCCUCCCAGCGCCCCAGCGCAGGCCUGGCCGGGAAUCUUCUAAGCUAGACCCCUCCCCAAAGCUGAGGCCCCUUCCUGUCCUCUCCCCUCUCCCCUCUGGGUUUGGAUCUUUCCUUCUCUUCUCCCUGCUUUCCCUCUCUCCUCUCUCCUCCUACCUUUCCUGUCCUGUGUUCCUUUCUUUAAAAUAAAACCCAAACAGGAACUCGGGUUAGGAAUGUGGCGACUACUUCACCACCGGCUCCUCCAGCCUCCCUGUCCACCCCAAGCACGUGGACUCCGUUUAUAUUCCUGAGCACUGAUUAUUCCAGAAGAUGGUGUUGAGGGGAGGGACCUAGAGACGCAGAGAACUCUGUGACAGCCGCCACCUCCAGGCAGCCUGGCCUUGGCAGCUCAAGUGGAAGGCCAUUGGGCGGGCCCAGGGUAUUUUUGUGCCUCCUUCUGGAAGGCUCUUUUAGGUCCUGCCUGUGCUCGAUAUAUGGGCACCUCAUGAUGCCGGGGCAGUGCCAGGGACAUUUCAGCUGGGGGCACGAAGGUGCUGAUUCCCACUGCCCCGGCCCCCAGAGAGGCCAGAGGAGGUGGUGACUUAGAAGGUAGGCCCUGGAGGCUCAGAGGCCAGAGUUCGAAUCCUGCCUCCAAUACCUUGUAGCUGUCCAGCCUCGGGCAAGACUCACCCUCUCAUAACCUCUGUUUCCAAAUCUGAAAAAUGGGAGCAGCAAUCAUCUCUAGCUCCUGGCGACUUUGAAAAGAGUCAACGAGAGGAUUCACCACAAGUGCCUGGGCCGCUGCCUGGUCGUCCUCUGUGCCCAGUGGCCGCUCCUGGCACCGCUGGCGCUAUUCCUCAUUCUAACAUCGCCAUGGGUGCAUGAUGGCGGCUCCCACCCCGUGCUGCCAGGAGGCCCCCAGCCCUGGCCUGUCUGUGCACAGAGGAAGCAGGUUGGGUGGCACUGAGGGGUCCCUGCAGCCCCUGGAGGAGGCCGCACAGCUCGUCCCAGCUGGCUGGACCCCCUCGAAUUCCCUGAAGCCUCCCCUCAAGAGAGGGGCUUUUCCUUCAGGGAGGGUCCCUCCUGCCCUGCCCAGGGCCUCAGCCAGCAGCCCCUGACAUUACCUCCCCUCCCCUCCGUUGCUGCCUCCCACUCCUCGAGCCCGUCCACCCCCUGCCUUCCCCGGAGAGGCCUGGUCAGAUCCACCCUCCUCUCCUCUGCUCAAACACUUCUAGAAGAUGGUGUUGAGGGGAGAGACUUAGAGACACAGAGAACUUCUAGAGCAUGUUCCAUCUGCCCGCUUGGCCUCCCUGCAGCGCCCCUCCCACCAUCAUCAGGCCACUGUCUAGUCUGCUUUGUCCCGGCUGCUCCCACACCUGGCCCCUCACCCCACCCCAUGACAUCCCCCUGUCCUUCCGAAGGACGUCACCUCUUUAAACGUGCCCUCGUGCGUGCGUGGAUGUGCACAUGUAAGGAGUCUGCUCGCUUCCCUACCCCCAGCUGUGAACCCCACCUGGAGAACCCUCCUCCCUGUUUCCUCUCCUGAACCCCAAGAGGCUGCAGGUGGAGCCCACGGCACCUCGGUUACUCAGGACCCCAAACUCCUGCGCACGCACAAGCCCUCGGGGAGGCUGCGCUCACCGGAGUUCCCUGCGUGAAAGCAUCUGUUUGUUCACCUGACCUGAGACCAUUCCCAAAGACAUUUGUCAGACACAGAUAUUGCCCGAGACCGGGGACCCAACAGUAGCAUCAGUGACAGCCCCUUUUGCAUUCUAGUUCUAGACGGUCACAGCAGAGUGCCCAGCUAAGCAGGAGUCCUUCAGAAGAACGGAUAAGUACAUGCAAGUUGCCAGUUCUCUGUCCCCCAGACCCCAAAUGAAAGUCCCCAAGGGGCCGCAGGACUCCCGAGAACUGGAGCAGACAGAGCAACCAGAGGUCCCACUGCAGGACAGCUGGCAGGUCCCCACGGGCAGGGGAGGUGGGGCUGCGUUACCUGUUAGACCGGAACCAGGGACUCGCCCAGGGGCGGUGGACAGAGCUCUCCUGAGAGUGUGAGAAUUUCAGAGCCCAGAGCUGUCCCUCUGCCCUGGCCCUGCGCUUUGGGCUGCUGUGCCAGGCAGCUGGGUGACGCGCUCCUUUGAAGCAGGGAGUUUAUUUCGGGCCCACCGCAUGACCACUGAUGGCGAGCCAAGCUAUACGGUGCUCCGAAUCUCAGAUUUCCUGUUCGAAGACGGCACAGAGGAAGCUGCGGGGCCCCUUCCGAUCCUCCGGGUGGAUUAGAGCCGGACUCUCACUUGGGAGAGCAUCUCGGAACGUGGGCCUUCACGUGAUGUCACCAGUUGUGAUCCUUGACAUGGAGGCCAUAUAUGGCCCCCUUCCUGUAGGAGGACAUGGGAUUUAGGACAACCAUCAGACUCCUCCUCAACUCAAACUCAGGAAAGUUUGGGAUGCCGCGACCCUCACUUCCGAUGUUCCACGAGGAGAUAGAUCUCAGAUGCCGGGUGUCCAGGGCUGAGCCAAGGUUCGCCAAGGAUGGGAGGGGCAUCAUCAGUGCCCGGGAUGUCUCCCAGCUACUCCGGCACCUGCUGUGUUGUGUACCACCCUAGCUGGGACAGUCUGGAGGUCAUCUCAAGCGCAUCCUUCCAGACCACGUGCUGUGGCAGGGUGGGGAGGGGCUCCGUACUGUUUGCAGAUUCUCCUGGGGCUAAGACCAAGACCAGCUUAGACUGGAGACAUCUCUCUGCAUCUUGCUGCUUCCUGGGGCUCCUUGCUGGAGGUGAAACACAAUUUCCUCUGCUCACCGACGACCACCAACACCCUCUGCAGAUUUGACCUGGGGAGGGUGGGCCUGGGUCACCUCCCAGGCCCCCGUUAGGCUGGCCCCUGCUUUGCCCUCUCAGUACAAACUUCUCAUAUCAAGAGAGCUGGAGAAACUCGGCCUUCAAACCUUCCUGUCUCACUCCUGAACUCAGCAUUUGAAAAUCAAGAACCCAGCCGGGCACAGUGGGGCACCCCUGAAAUCCCACAGCUCAGGAGGCUGAGGCAGGAGGAUCACAAGUUCAAGACCAGCCUCAGCAACUUAUCGAGGCCCUGAGCAACUCAGCGAGACCCUGUCUCUAAAUAAAACAUAAAAAAAGGGCUGGAGGUGUGUCUCAGUGGUUGAGUGCCCCUGAGUUCAA